GACGAACGCUGGCGGCGUGCUUAACACAUGCAAGUCGAACGGAAAGGCCCUGCUUUUGUGGGGUGCUCGAGUGGCGAACGGGUGAGUAACACGUGAGUAACCUGCCCUUGACUUUGGGAUAACUUCAGGAAACUGGGGCUAAUACCGGAUAGGAGCUCCUGCUGCAUGGUGGGGGUUGGAAAGUUUCGGCGGUUGGGGAUGGACUCGCGGCUUAUCAGCUUGUUGGUGGGGUAGUGGCUUACCAAGGCUUUGACGGGUAGCCGGCCUGGGAGGGUGACCGGCCACAUUGGGACUGAGAUGCGGCCCAGACUCCUACGGGAGGCAGCAGUGGGGAAUAUUGCACAAUGGGCGGAAGCCUGGUGCAGCAACGCCGCGUGCGGGAUGACGGCCUUCGGGUUGUAAACCGCUUUCGCCUGUGACGAAGCGUGAGUGACGGUAAUGGGUAAAGAAGCACCGGCUAACUACGU
RNAcentral lists this ribosomal RNA (467 nucleotides) under uncultured bacterium. RNAcentral describes it as "partial 16S ribosomal RNA". It matches the Rfam family "Bacterial small subunit ribosomal RNA", at positions 28 to 506 of the family's 1533-position model. The record is from RNAcentral.